This 853-nucleotide ribosomal RNA is filed under the name Neofusicoccum viticlavatum. RNAcentral's name for it is "eukaryotic LSU rRNA". It matches the Rfam family "Eukaryotic large subunit ribosomal RNA", at positions 76 to 947 of the family's 3401-position model. Lineage: Eukaryota; Fungi; Ascomycota; Dothideomycetes; Botryosphaeriales; Botryosphaeriaceae. The record is from RNAcentral.
UGCCUUAGUAACGGCGAGUGAAGCGGCAAUAGCUCAAAUUUGAAAGCUGGCCCCUUCGGGGUCCGCGUUGUAAUUUGUAGAGGAUGAUUCGGCGAGGGCUCCCGUCUAAGUCCCUUGGAACAGGGCGUCAUAGAGGGUGAGAAUCCCGUAUGUGAUGGGCUGCCUUAGCCAUGUGAAUCUCCUUCGACGAGUCGAGUUGUUUGGGAAUGCAGCUCUAAAUGGGAGGUAAAUUUCUUCUAAAGCUAAAUACCGGCCAGAGACCGAUAGCGCACAAGUAGAGUGAUCGAAAGAUGAAAAGCACUUUGGAAAGAGAGUUAAAAAGUACGUGAAAUUGUUGAAAGGGAAGCGCUUGCAGCCAGACUUGUCCGCAGUUGCUCAGCCUGUCUCCUGACAGGCGUACUCUUCUGCGGCCAGGCCAGCAUCAGUUCGGGCGGUCGGAUAAAGACCUAGGGAAUGUAGCUCCUCUCGGGGAGUGUUAUAGCCCUGGGUGCAAUGCGGCCAGCCUGGACUGAGGAUCUCGCUUCGGCUAGGAUGCUGGCGUAAUGGCUGUAAGCGGCCCGUCUUGAAACACGGACCAAGGAGUCUAACAUCUAUGCGAGUGUUUGGGUGUCAAACCCAUGCGCGUAAUGAAAGUGAACGGAGGUGGGAACCCUCACGGGUGCACCAUCGACCGAUCCUGAUGUCUUCGGAUGGAUUUGAGUAAGAGCAUAGCUGUUGGGACCCGAAAGAUGGUGAACUAUGCCUGAAUAGGGUGAAGCCAGAGGAAACUCUGGUGGAGGCUCGCAGCGGUUCUGACGUGCAAAUCGAUCGUCAAAUUUGGGUAUAGGGGCGAAAGACUAAUCGAACCAUCUAG